Molecule: ribosomal RNA, 253 nt
Filed under: uncultured bacterium
Lineage: Bacteria
Description: partial 16S ribosomal RNA
Rfam family: Bacterial small subunit ribosomal RNA
Source: RNAcentral
UACGAAGGGGGCUAGCGUUGCUCGGAAUCACUGGGCGUAAAGCGCACGUAGGCGGAUCCUUAAGUCGGGGGUGAAAUCCUGGAGCUCAACUCCAGAACUGCCUUCGAUACUGAGGAUCUCGAGUCCGGGAGAGGUGAGUGGAACUGCGCGUGUAGAGGUGAAAUUCGUAGAUAUUCGCAAGAACACCAGUGGCGAAGGCGGCUCACUGGCCCGGUACUGACGCUGAGGUGCGAAAGCGUGGGGAGCAAACAGG